This 353-nucleotide ribosomal RNA is filed under the name uncultured bacterium. RNAcentral's name for it is "bacterial SSU rRNA". It matches the Rfam family "Bacterial small subunit ribosomal RNA", at positions 28 to 395 of the family's 1533-position model. The record is from RNAcentral.
GAUGAACGCUAGCGGCAGGCUUAAUACAUGCAAGUCAAGGGGGUAGCAAUACAACCGGCGCACGGGUGAGUAACGCGUACACAACAUACCAUAUACUGGAGUAUAGCUUCGGGAAACUGAAGGUAAUCCUCCAUAACAUUGCGAGAAGGCAUCUAAUUGCAAUUAAAGUUUCGACGGUAUAUGAUUGGUGUGCGUUUGAUUAGCUAGUUGGUAGGGUAACGGCCUACCAAGGCGACGAUCAAUAGCUGGCGUGAGAGCGCGACCAGCCACACUGGAACUGAGACACGGUCCAGACUCCUAGGGAGGCAGCAGUAGGGAAUAUUGGACAAUGGGCGAAAGCCUGAUCCAGCCAU